GAACGGGUGGUGGAGUAGGUCAAACACGCAGGGCUUAAAUUCCUGUCCUCAAUGGUUCGUGGGUUCAAAUCCCACCCCGUUCA
Molecule: transfer RNA, 83 nt
Filed under: Paracoccaceae bacterium
Lineage: Bacteria; Pseudomonadati; Pseudomonadota; Alphaproteobacteria; Rhodobacterales; Paracoccaceae
Description: Rhodobacteraceae bacterium tRNA-Leu
Rfam family: tRNA
About the family: Transfer RNA (tRNA) molecules are approximately 80 nucleotides in length. Their secondary structure includes four short double-helical elements and three loops (D, anti-codon, and T loops).
Source: RNAcentral